Molecule: ribosomal RNA, 465 nt
Filed under: uncultured bacterium
Lineage: Bacteria
Description: bacterial SSU rRNA
Rfam family: Bacterial small subunit ribosomal RNA
Source: RNAcentral
CCUACGGGAGGCAGCAGUGGGGAAUAUUGCACAAUGGGCGCAAGCCUGAUGCAGCCAUGCCGCGUGUAUGAAGAAGGCCUUAGGGUUGUAAAGUGCUUUCAGUUGGGAGGAAGGCGUUGAUGCUAAUAUCAUCAACGAUUGACGUUACCAACAGAAGAAGCACCGGCUAACUCCGUGCCAGCAGCCGCGGUAAUACGGAGGGUGCAAGCGUUAAUCGGAAUUACUGGGCGUAAAGCGCACGCAGGCGGUUGACUAAGUUAGAUGUGAAAUCCCCGGGCUUAACCUGGGAAUGGCAUCUAAGACUGGUCAGCUAGAGUCUUGUAGAGGGGGGUAGAAUUCCAUGUGUAGCGGUGAAAUGCGUAGAGAUGUGGAGGAAUACCGGUAGCGAAGGCGGCCCCCUGGACAAAGACUGACGCUCAGGUGCGAAAGCGUGGGGAGCAAACAGGAUUAGAUACCCCCGUAGUC